RNAcentral lists this ribosomal RNA (468 nucleotides) under uncultured bacterium. RNAcentral describes it as "partial 16S ribosomal RNA". It matches the Rfam family "Bacterial small subunit ribosomal RNA", at positions 28 to 507 of the family's 1533-position model. The record is from RNAcentral.
GACGAACGCUGGCGGCGUGCUUAACACAUGCAAGUCGAACGGAAAGGCCCUGCUUUUGUGGGGUGCUCGAGUGGCGAACGGGUGAGUAACACGUGAGUAACCUGCCCUUGACUUUGGGAUAACUUCAGGAAACUGGGGCUAAUACCGGAUAGGAGCUCCUGCUGCUUGGUGGGGGUUGGAAAGUUUCGGCGGUUGGGGAUGGACUCGCGGCUUAUCAGCUUGUUGGUGGGGUAGUGGCUUACCAAGGCUUUGACGGGUAGCCGGCCUGAGAGGGUGACCGGCCACAUUGGGACUGAGAUACGGCCCAGACUCCUACGGGAGGCAGCAGUGGGGAAUAUUGCACAAUGGGCGGAAGCCUGAUGCAGCAACGCCGCGUGCGGGAUGACGGCCUUCGGGCUGUAAACCGCUUUCGCCUGUGACGAAGCGUGAGUGACGGUAAUGGGUAAAGAAGCACCGGCUAACUACGUG